Molecule: non-coding RNA, 18 nt
Filed under: Arabidopsis thaliana (thale cress)
Lineage: Eukaryota; Viridiplantae; Streptophyta; Magnoliopsida; Brassicales; Brassicaceae
Source: RNAcentral
GCUUCUAAUGGAGGUGGA